RNAcentral lists this unclassified non-coding RNA (296 nucleotides) under Brevundimonas sp. 374. RNAcentral's name for it is "Long range pseudoknot". The record is from RNAcentral. Lineage: Bacteria; Pseudomonadati; Pseudomonadota; Alphaproteobacteria; Caulobacterales; Caulobacteraceae.
ACUAUGAGGUGAAGGCCAAGGCCAUGCACCGCUUCUUCGAGGAAGGCGACAAGGUCAAGGUCACCCUGCGCUUCCGCGGUCGUGAAAUGGCCCACCCCGAACUGGGCAUGAAGCUGCUGAACAAGGUUCAGGCCGACUUCGACGAAGUCGCCAAGGUCGAGUUCUCGCCCAAGAUGGAAGGCCGCCAGAUGAUCAUGAUCCUGGCCCCGCGCUGAUCGCGAUCCAUCGCUGAAUACGAAACGCCCCGGUCCCACGACCGGGGCGUUUUGUUUUUGCGCAUCUGCCGCUUGCGUAAA